GUCGAAGACAAAAACCGAUCUGUUGAUGUACUAUCAAAUAGAGAUUUAAUGCGGUUUUAUUUCACAUAGAGCAGACAAAGAAUUUCAUUUAUAAGCGGCGCUCCAUGAAUUUAGUAGAUCCUUUUAGGAAGCCCUAAUGACCAUAGAUCGAACCAGUCCAAUUUUUACAGUGCAAUGGUUGGUUGUUCACGGACUAGCGGUCCCCACCGUUAUGUUUUUGGGGGUAAAUAUCAGCAAUGCAGUUCAAUCGAACCCGCCGCGUGUUAAGACCGGCGUGUAAGACUGAAGACCUGCAGCAAAUCGGCAACUGCAUUAAUUUCCAUACUCAAAUUCCUCGUCAACGGGCAACCCCUCACUUCUCUCUCUACAAUCGGAUCUCUCUCUCUAGAUAUUUGCUGCAGAUACAUACCGUACAAGGGGUUUGAUGUGAUCCAUGGUAUUGGUGAAAAGUAGCAGACUUCUCUCAUGACUUGUUUUACUUUCUGUUUCAGAAAGAAGGUAGCUUACCCAACUAAACAAACGAUAGAUAUCAAAGAAGAGGUUUCAGGCAUUCAGAAUGUUAUAGUGUACACUUAUGAAGAAAUGCGAAUAGCAACUGAAGAUUUUAGUCCAGCUAAUAAAAUUGGGAAGGGUGGUUUUGGUUCUGUCUACAAGGUAAUUGGAAAGCUCAAAGAUGGCACUGUGGUUGCUUUAAAGGUGCUUUCUGCUGAGUCAAGGCAGGGGUCACGGGAGUUCUUAACAGAGGUUAAUGUGAUCUCAAAUGUAGAGCAUGAAAAUCUAGUGAAAUUGUAUGGUUGUUGUAUGGAAGGGAGUCACAGAAUUUUGGUAUAUGGCUAUCUAGAAAACAAUAGCCUCGAUCAAAUUCUUCAUGGAGGAAGCCACAGUAGCAUUCAGUUUAGCUGGAAAAUGCGGUGUAAAAUUUGCACUGGGGUUGCUCGGGGGCUUGCAUUUCUUCAUGAGGAGGUUCGGCCACAUAUUGUUCAUAGAGACAUUAAAGCAAGCAAUGUCCUCCUUGACCAAGACCUCACACCCAAGAUUUCAGAUUUCGGUCUCGCAAAGUUUUUCCCGGACAACCAGACUCACAUAAGUACACGUGUUGCAGGAACUAUUGGUUAUUUGGCUCCUGAGUAUGCGCUACGAGGCCAGUUGACGAGGAAAGCAGAUAUUUACAGUUUUGGUGUUCUCCUCUUGGAAAUUGUCAGUGGGAGAUGCAACACAAACAAGCGGUUACCUUUUGAAGAACAAUGUCUUCUUGAAAGGAUGUGGGAACUGCACAAGCAAGGAGAGCUGCUGGCGAUGGUGGACAUGUCAUUGGAAGGGGAUUUUGAUGACAAUGAGGCUUUAAGAUUCUUGAAGAUUGGUCUCCUUUGCACCCAAGAAAUGGCAAAGCUCCGGCCGUCGAUGUCUACUGUGGUGAAGAUGCUUACAGGUGAGAUGGAUGUGGACAAGCAGAAGAUAUCAAGACCAGGCCUAAUGUCUGAUUUAAUGGGUCUCAGAAAAAAUAAGAAUACAUCGGACACAUUAUCUGGUAGCUCAGGCAAACAGGAUAAUAUCUCAUCACCCGAGAACACGACUGGGUCACGUGCUACUAUGACCUUCACUUCAAUAUAUGACCGAAGUGCUUGACUAGUCCCAUGAGAGGUUUCUCGAGCAAAUCUAUCAUCUCUACUGGAGUGCAACACUCAAGCUGGUUGUAUAGAAACAAUCCAAAAACUAGGUACAAGUUGUUGCUCCCAUCAUCUGCUGCAAGAAGAUGGCAGAGGCCAUUGGGACCUAUUGUCAAGGAUUCAGACACAACCUGUAAUAGUAUGGUCUUCAUUUGCUGGGUAGUCAGCAAAACUUGUUUCCCCUUGCAUAAUAUGCUGCAUUCUAUAUUCCCAUGGCUUUUUGAGAAGCAUUCUGUAAUCCUCAAUGAUUCCCAAAAGGAGAUAUUUAACAGGGUUGCUUGCCCUUUUACUUUUUGGGUAAUAUUCACAAUCUAUUUAUUUUUUUUGCACUGUUUAAAAGAUAUGUGCAUAUCUGUGUAUAGUUCUUGAUUUUCACAUCCAUCUGGCAAUUAUGUUAUUCCUGAGAAACUGCAAUGUCUGAAAUUGAGAAUCCUCUUUACCAAGUUGUGUUA
Cornus florida is the source of this 2119-nucleotide RNA transcript. It is a transcript of the gene named cold-responsive protein kinase 1-like, with no coding region annotated. NCBI's taxonomy places the organism in Eukaryota, Viridiplantae, Streptophyta, Magnoliopsida, Cornales, Cornaceae. The record is from RefSeq and is a predicted model, not a curated record. The transcript has 9 exons.